ACAUAUCAAAUGAGAGAAGGAAGUCCCUCCCAUCCCCAUCAGCAUUCCCCAACCCGGAGGAAUGUUUAUUCCGGCCUGUUCCCACCCCAGCUUGUAGCUAUGGGAACAUCAGUCCAGGAGAUGGUCCACUUCCCAUAAGACCUUACCAUGCCAUCAUUGAAGGCACAGACAAGAGGAAAGGAUCCCUUAAAGGCAGGAAGUGGAUGUCCAUCUUUAACAUUGGAGGAAGAUUCCCGGAUCCACGGCGAAGACACAAACCUUCAACCAAAAGUACAAAAUCUUCACAUAGAAAUGAGUCACAACAUUUAUUCCUACUAAGUUAAUUUCUCCUUUUCCAUAAACAGGUUUGCGUGUUGUUAACUUUAUUCUCUUUGGUUUGUUUUCUAAUUUCUUUUCACUUUAUGGAAUAGUAACAUUUAAACUGACAUUCAAACUCACAUACUUUUAAAUAUAAAUAUUUAAAAAUGUAAAUAUAAUUUGUUUGUGGUUUGGCACAUUUCAUUAAUGUACUUUUAGAAAACUGCAGUUCUCCCAUAGAUCAGUGCCAACAGCUUCUCUAUAUAUAUUAUCUCACUUAUCUUAGAAAUAUUUUUUAUAUUUUUUCAGCUCCAGAGAAAGAAAGGCCUGCUCUGAGACCUGCAAGAAGCAUGGACUCCCUCAGCUCCCCAUCCUAUCCAAAUGAAGGUACCAGGCGUUCUGGCCAGCGCCCUCCUUCCACCAACAUGUCUCCCCUUGUCACUACCACCCCUCAGGCUGUCUCUGAGCUCCCAGUAACUUCAGGUGGAUUAGGUGCCAGUGAAUAUGCUGUGACCUACCGCAGGGGAACAGGGCUAGUAAGCGGUGGUGCAGGCGUACAGGGUACCUACACAGCUCUUGAUCCAGAAGGUUUAGGAUUAGCAGGCAAUGAUACUGUCCAAUCCAGAUCUCCAGGAAUAUCCACUAAAGCUGGUCGGAGAGCAGCCAUGCACAUCACAGGACCCACCAUGGUUACUGUGCCACUACAUAUCACCUCUAACCUGGCUUUAGGGGUUCUUCAAGGGGGCGGGGCUGACAGGAUCAUACACCGUAGAGACAAAAACGGGGGAGACAAGGCGGGAGCAGAAAAGGCAGCGAAAAAGGUAAGCAGAGUAAUGGAAUGGAACGUGGAAGAAACCAAGAAGGAGGAGGAGGAAGUGAAAAGUCAAAAGGAGAAAAGCAGUGAAGAAGACGUGGAGACGACAGAGGAUUCGGUGGCAGCAGUUGGUGCUGAGGAGAAAACGGAAGAAGCAGCAGAAGAGAAAGGAGAUGAACCUAAGAGACAACGAGCCAAAAGCCUCCUGUCCAACUCAGAAGAAGAUAACAAAGGUGACGCCAAAAAUGCUGAACAAAAUGCUGAAGAUGAUGAAUAUAUGGAAAUGAAAGUUAGUGAGACGUCUAAGCUUCAGCCAGAGGACACUCAGCACGAAGAUAAUGGAGAGUUCGAUGCUUCUGAUGUUCUCAACUCAACAGAGGUGGCAGGCGACAACCAGAAUAUGUUUGGCUACAUUCAAGACAACUUUGAAUUCCUGGACCAAAUGGACUGCAGUGGAAUGGAACAUAUGGACUGCAGUGUCUCUUAUCAGGUGCAGGAGUUCUCUGUUGAACCUCCUUGUCACUCAGACGAUGAGUAUGAAACAAUGGCGCAAGCUCAGACUUCUCCUUGUCCUCCAGAGCCACAGUCACGCCUGCGUCCAGGCCCUCAAAGUCCCAGCGAGUCAAAUCCACACAGACCGCUCAGCCUUGACUUGCACAGUCGACACACAAAAUCCCUCAGCCUGCCUUACAUGACCUCGCCUGUCCACGGACCAGAUGAGUCUUCAUCUGAAGACGAGGCUAUGGGGGACGACAUUGGUGAUAACGAAUACAGUAGCGAGGAAGACGAGAGCAUGUUUGUUAAAAGCCUUCCACCGGAUUUCUUUUUGAACACAAUCUCUGGGUUGGAACUAGAAACCGAUGGACAAGAAAGUUCCCCUCAUGAUAGCGUUUCUGUGCAUUACAUAGAGAGCUCUGAAGAAAGAGACUGCCAGUCACUGAAAACUGAACAUUCGGCAUGUACAGAAACAACUACGGGAGAGCGGGAGCAGGUAGAAGUGAAAGACAGAGAAGAUAAAAAUGGACUGGAUGAAAAGGAGAUGAUAGAAAAACAAGAGGAAACUAAAGUUCAUCAGGAAGGAGACCAGCUGGAAAACGACAUGCAAAGCAGAGAAACAGAGGAACAUCUGGAUAUUAUGAAAGAGGCUGAAAGUGAAAUAGCCUCAACAACCUGCUGUACAGAGUUUCCACUGCCAGUCACCGAGGACACUGAUGAAUCCAGCAGUGUGGCUGGCAUGAGCGUUGAGGAGGUGAAGGAAGUAGUUGAAAUUGCUCACAGCGAUUGUCCAUCUCAGGAAAUGAUUAACCAGAAAGAAACUGAAUCAACAAAUCAUACCGGAAGCUGUAAUGGAGGGGGUACAACAGAGAGAGACAAUAAGGAGGGGGAGAACGGUGUGAUAUGCAAUGAAAUGGAGGACAUGUGCGAACAGUUUGUACUGAAAAUAGAGGAAAGUGACGAGAAAAUGAGGGAAGAAACCUCAGAGGGAAAAGCUGACAGAGAACACGACAGUAGCAAUGAGCAGGAUACCCAAAUCUGUGGGACACACAAUGACAUUUGGGAAGAACUUGAGGACAUUGUAUCUGAAGUGAUAGAGGAUGAGGAAAAGGCGCAGUCUGAGAGGGAGGGUGAUGUUGGGCAAGAACAUUUGGUAAAAGAUGAACAGGACGAAGAGCACGGAUCGAAGGAAAUGGUGGAAGACGACAAAGAGGAGGCGAAGAAGACGGAAGGUAGGAUAGAAGUAGACGGUGAACCAAUGGAGACGGCUGAAGGAGCGCUAACAAGUUUAGAAAUGCAACAAGAGUUUAAGGAAGAUGAGACCCAGAGAGAAACUCAUGAGAAGAUGGCCAGCAAGGAAGACUCUCAGGAACAUGUCACAGCAGAAGCGUUUUCAGAUCAGCCAGAGAAAGAGAACGAUGGUAAACAGACAGCUGAUGAGGAACUUGAAACUGCGCUAAGUGAAGAUAACCAAUUUAAAGAGGUGGGCUCUGAUAUGAAAGAGGGAAGAGAGAGUGAGAAGAGUGACGGCCACUUAGAGGGUGUCGGAAGCACGCUGGUCUCCUCACAGCCGAAGAUCUACCAAGUUAAAGCCGUGCCGGUUGUGCCUCCGAAGCCGCAGCACUGCAGAAUCACCGCCCUGACCAUCCGACAGCAGCAGCAGCAAAGAGAGAGAAGAGACGCCGACAGAGGGAGAGACAACGCGCUGAGAGUCCCAGGAGAGCAGGACAAGGACGGAGACCAGAGCGACGAGGGCUCUGAGAAAAAAGAGAGUCCAAAACUCAGGGGAGAUAGCCGGGAGAGAGAGGGGAGGAGGGACAGGGCCGAAGUCAGAAACAGUCCCCUCAGCAUGUGCUUUGAUGAGGCUGUGGCCAUUGCAACCAUGAGGCGAGAGAAAGAGAGGGUGAGAGAAGGAGAGGCGGAGGCAGAGGCGCUGGGGAAGUGA
Oreochromis niloticus (Nile tilapia) is the source of this 3551-nucleotide long non-coding RNA. The record is from Ensembl. NCBI's taxonomy places the organism in Eukaryota, Metazoa, Chordata, Actinopteri, Cichliformes, Cichlidae.